ACCAGACUCCUACGGGAGGCAGCAGUGGGGAAUAUUGCACAAUGGGGGGAACCCUGAUGCAGCGACGCCGCGUGGGUGAAGGAGUACUUCGGUACGUAAAGCCCUAUCAGCAGGAAAGAAAAUGACGGUACCUGACUAAGAAGCCCCGGCUAACUACGUGCCAGCAGCCGCGGUAAUACGUAGGGGGCAAGCGUUAUCCGGAUUUACUGGGUGUAAAGGGAGCGUAGACGGCAGUGCAAGUCCGGAGUGAAAGCCCGGGGCUCAACCCUGGGACUGCUCUGGAAACUGCCCGGCUAGAGUGCUGGAGAGGUAAGCGGAAUUCCUAGUGUAGCGGUGAAAUGCGUAGAUAUUAGGAGGAACACCAGUGGCGAAGGCGGCUUACUGGACAGUAACUGACGUUGAGGCUCGAAAGCGUGGGGAGCAAACAGGAUUAGAUACCCCAGUAAA
This 447-nucleotide ribosomal RNA is filed under the name uncultured bacterium. RNAcentral describes it as "bacterial SSU rRNA". It matches the Rfam family "Bacterial small subunit ribosomal RNA", at positions 330 to 794 of the family's 1533-position model. The record is from RNAcentral.